GCGCUAUUUUCCUUUUUGCUGCUAGCAUUAUUCAGAUCUCCUUGGUCAAGAGUGCCACCUUUCUCGUUUUGAUUUACUUCUGAUUGUUCGGAUUCACUUUUUCUUGACUGUUCUUGGCUCAUUUUGGGAUAAAUAAAUGGUGAUAUAUCAGCAUAUAUCUUGCUAAUCUGCAGAUUAAUUAUGGUGGCUGAAGGAGAAUAUGAAACUUGAUUAACUACUACGCAGAUUAAUUAAG
Molecule: long non-coding RNA, 235 nt
Filed under: Panax ginseng (ginseng)
Lineage: Eukaryota; Viridiplantae; Streptophyta; Magnoliopsida; Apiales; Araliaceae
Description: long non-coding RNA (PGIN_LNC000540)
Source: RNAcentral